GGUCCGCUGGCUCAAUGGCAGAGCGUCUGACUACGAUUCCUUCGGGAGCAAGUAAUCAGGAGGUUCCAGGUUCGACCCCUGGGUGGAUCG
Dichotomopilus funicola is the source of this 90-nucleotide non-coding RNA. The record is from the annotation of a RefSeq genome assembly. NCBI's taxonomy places the organism in Eukaryota, Fungi, Ascomycota, Sordariomycetes, Sordariales, Chaetomiaceae.